Uloborus diversus is the source of this 1155-nucleotide long non-coding RNA. RefSeq lists it as uncharacterized. Lineage: Eukaryota; Metazoa; Arthropoda; Arachnida; Araneae; Uloboridae. The record is from RefSeq and is a predicted model, not a curated record. The transcript has 5 exons.
AAGGUAUAUUCUGUAAAAGUUCUCGAUUCACAUCGAAUACCCUCCCUAUAAAUGGAUAAUAAUGGAAAUAACAUGUUUUUUCGAAAUGGACUACAUACGAAAUUUUAUUUUGGAAGAACAGUCGAUGUUGCUUUUCAAAAAUCGUAAACUUUGCCAAAAAUUGAACUUUUACCCAAAAGACGGUAAAUCUACAGUGAAAUGAAUGAAAAUAUAUGGAUACAUACUGCCUUCAAGCCAAACUUUGUUUUAUCUUUGUGCUAAGAAACUUUUUUGUUGAAUCGUGCGUGUUUACUGUUAAAACAUGAAGAUAUUAUAUAAGUAUGGUGUAUAAAGAAUUCAAGAAACAUUUGUCAACAAACAAAAGUGAAUUUUCAAAAAAUGCAUGCGCAAGAACAUCGACAUGUGAUGAAUAUACAUUAGUGAAAUGCGUUUGAUGAAAUUUCCUUCAAAAAUCUUAAUGAAUGAUUUAUACAUUGUGCACUCAUAAAUGGAUACAUCAAAAUGAUAUCAUUAUCAAUGACAUGUACGAUGAAAGACGCUACACCUAAAGGGAGAAACGUUUUGUGCAGAGGUUUUCACAAAGUAUGUUUGAAUUGAGUACCUGUUCUAAGACAGUUUACUUUUUCAAGAGGAUGGAGCUUUUGAGGCUUGCAAGGAAAUGAGAAUUCAAGUAUUACUUCACUUGGUACUUCAGAGCAAGAAAAAGUCAGAAGAAUUGCUGAAGCAAGAAUUCCGGAGCUUUCAAUAACGAAAGUUAGUUCAUUAAAAACCAAGAUAGCCAGUAAAAAAAAUUUUACACCAGUAACUUUCAAAGUUUUAUCUUAAAAUGUAUAAUAUUUAUUGCCUCUCUUAUGUUAAAAAAAAUUGAAUUGGAACAAAUAAAAGUUUUUAUGACAAGGAAUUAUACUAUUUUUAUUUUCAAUGAGCAUGGAUUAAUUUCACAGUUGAUGAAGGAACCAGGUAAAAAAAGAUAUAGCACGGGAAAUCAAUUUGGUGAAACCCCAAAUGAAAGUAUAAAUCUUGUUGAAACUUGUCUCAUGUGAGCCAUUGAUUGGUUUCCAAAGUACAACUUCAAAUAAAAUUCUGUCUUGAAGCAAUUUUAUUCUUGGACCCUUAAUGUGGAAUUAGUGAAACUAGAAAAGCUCACAGAAUAAC